GGCGAGUGAAGCAGCAAUAGCUCAAAUUUGAAAUCUGGCGUCUUCGACGUCCGAGUUGUAAUUUGUAGAGGAUGCUUCUGAGUAACCACCGACCUAAGUUCCUUGGAACAGGACGUCAUAGAGGGUGAGAAUCCCGUAUGCGGUCGGAAAGGUGCUCUAUACGUAGCUCCUUCGACGAGUCGAGUUGUUUGGGAAUGCAGCUCUAAAUGGGAGGUAAAUUUCUUCUAAAGCUAAAUAUUGGCCAGAGACCGAUAGCGCACAAGUAGAGUGAUCGAAAGAUGAAAAGCACUUUGGAAAGAGAGUUAAAAAGCACGUGAAAUUGUUAAAAGGGAAGGGAUUGCAACCAGACUUGCUCGCGGUGUUCCGCCGGUCUUCUGACCGGUCUACUCGCCGCGUUGCAGGCCAGCAUCGUCUGGUGCCGCUGGAUAAGACUUGAGGAAUGUAGCUCCCUCGGGAGUGUUAUAGCCUCUUGUGAUGCAGCGAGCGCCGGGCGAGGUCCGCGCUUCGGCUAGGAUGCUGGCGUAAUGGUCGUAAUCCGCCCGUCUUGAANNACG
RNAcentral lists this ribosomal RNA (554 nucleotides) under Cladosporium silenes. Its description in RNAcentral is "eukaryotic LSU rRNA". It matches the Rfam family "Eukaryotic large subunit ribosomal RNA", at positions 88 to 663 of the family's 3401-position model. The record is from RNAcentral. Lineage: Eukaryota; Fungi; Ascomycota; Dothideomycetes; Cladosporiales; Cladosporiaceae.